RNAcentral lists this ribosomal RNA (448 nucleotides) under uncultured bacterium. RNAcentral describes it as "SSU rRNA". It matches the Rfam family "Bacterial small subunit ribosomal RNA", at positions 26 to 518 of the family's 1533-position model. The record is from RNAcentral.
AGAGCGAACGCUGGCGGCAGGCCUAACACAUGCAAGUCGAGCGCCCGUAGCAAUACGGGAGCGGCAGACGGGAUAGUAACACGUGGGAACGCGCCCUUCGGUUCGGAAUAACUCAGGGAAACUUGAGCUAAUACCGGAUACGCCCUUACGGGGAAAGAUUUAUUGCCGAAGGAACGGCCCGCGUCCGAUUAGCUAGUUGGUGAGGUAAUGGCUCACCAAGGCGACGAUCGGUAGCUGGUCUGAGAGGAUGACCAGCAUCACUGGGACUGAGACACGGCCCAGACUCCUACGGGAGGCAGCAGUGGGGAAUAUUGGACAAUGGGCGCAAGCCUGAUCCAGCCAUGCCGCGUGGAUGAUGAAGGCCUUAGGGUUGUAAAGUCCUUUUAACGGGGAAGAUAAUGACGGUACCCGUAGAAUAAGCCCCGGCUAACUUCGUGUCAGCAGCCGC